GUCGGGAGUCUUGCACAAUGGGGGAAACCCUGAUGCAGCGACGUCGCGUGUGGGAUGAAGUAUUUCGGUAUGUAAACCACUUUUGCGGGGGGCGAAAAAAAUGACGGUACCCCGCGAAUAAGCCCCGGCUAACUACGUGCCAGCAGUCGCGGUAAUACGUAGGGGGCGAGCGUUGCUCGGAUUGACUGGGCGUAAAGCGCGCGUAGGCGGUCCAUUAAGUGUGCGGUGAAAUUCGGAGGCUCAACCUCCGUCCCGCCGCGCAAACUGAUGGUCUUGAGAUUGGGAGGGGGAUGCGGAAUUCCUGGUGUAGCGGUGAAAUGCAUUGAUAUCAGGAGGAACACCGGCGGCGAAAGCGGCAUCCUGGCUUAUAUCUGACGCUGAGGCGCGAAAGCGUGGGUAGCAAACGGGAUUAGAAACCCCGGUAGUCC
Molecule: ribosomal RNA, 428 nt
Filed under: uncultured bacterium
Lineage: Bacteria
Description: partial 16S ribosomal RNA
Rfam family: Bacterial small subunit ribosomal RNA
Source: RNAcentral